GAUUUGAUCAUGGCUCAGAUUGAACGCUGGCGGCAUGCCUUACACAUGCAAGUCGAACGGCAGCACGGGAGCUUGCUCCUGGUGGCGAGUGGCGAACGGGUGAGUAAUGCAUCGGAACGUAUCCUGGAGUGGGGGAUAACGUAGCGAAAGUUACGCUAAUACCGCAUAUUCUGUGAGCAGGAAAGCGGGGGACCUUCGGGCCUCGCGCUCUUGGAGCGGCCGAUGUCGGAUUAGCUAGUUGGUGAGGUAAAGGCUCACCAAGGCGACGAUCCGUAGCAGGUCUGAGGGGAUGAUCUGCCACACUGGAACUGAGACACGGUCCAGACUCCUACGGGAGGCAGCAGUGGGGAAUCUUGGACAAUGGGGGCAACCCGUGAUCCAGCCAUGCCGCGUGAGUGAAGAAGGCCU
RNAcentral lists this ribosomal RNA (408 nucleotides) under bacterium enrichment culture clone ALO1_GLFRUDD03F8QKQ. Its description in RNAcentral is "bacterial SSU rRNA". It matches the Rfam family "Bacterial small subunit ribosomal RNA", at positions 10 to 417 of the family's 1533-position model. The record is from RNAcentral.